ACCUACGGGAGGCAGCAGUGGGGAAUAUUGGACAAUGGGCGCAAGCCUGAUCCAGCCAUGCCGCGUGAGUGAUGAAGGCCUUAGGGUUGUAAAGCUCUUUCGCUCGGGACGAUAAUGACGGUACCGAGAUAAGAAGCCCCGGCUAACUUCGUGCCAGCAGCCGCGGUAAUACGAAGGGGGCUAGCGUUGUUCGGAAUUACUGGGCGUAAAGCGCGUGUAGGCGGGUCUUUAAGUCAGGGGUGAAAUGCCAAGGCUCAACCUUGGAACUGCCUUUGAUACUGGAGAUCUUGAGUCCGGGAGAGGUGAGUGGAAUUGCGAGUGUAGAGGUGAAAUUCGUAGAUAUUCGCAAGAACACCAGUGGCGAAGGCGGCUCACUGGCCCGGAACUGACGCUGAGACGCGAAAGCGUGGGGAGCAAACAGGAUUAGAUACCCCCGUAGUCCC
This 443-nucleotide ribosomal RNA is filed under the name uncultured bacterium. Its description in RNAcentral is "bacterial SSU rRNA". It matches the Rfam family "Bacterial small subunit ribosomal RNA", at positions 337 to 797 of the family's 1533-position model. The record is from RNAcentral.